This is a long non-coding RNA of Bos indicus x Bos taurus (hybrid cattle), 1436 nucleotides long. NCBI's taxonomy places the organism in Eukaryota, Metazoa, Chordata, Mammalia, Artiodactyla, Bovidae. The record is from Ensembl.
GCUCUCUGCUGGGCCUUAGGUACUUCUUGGAUGGUUCCUGACCCACCAGGGCGCACACCUUUGCCCAGUCAUCCGGAAAACACAGCCACCGGUCCAGUUCCACAGCCAGCUGGGCAGCAACAGGGAUGACCUUGGCCUUUAAUGCAUCCAGCGUGGAGCCAGCAGCAGGAGACACCUGUUCGCCUGGGUCCUUGAAGCCCCUCUUGCUGGUCUCAGGAUGAAAGGCACUCUCUCCUACUCUCAAGCCCACAGAUGUGGAAUAAAGAGUGUGAGUUCCCUCUUUAUUUGUUGGCUGGACAAAUACGCAGUCGAAACAGCAGACCUUCAGUAUCAGACAGAAUGGGCUUCUGGUAAAGAAUCUGCCUGCAAUGCAGGAGACACGGGUUCGAUCCCUGAGUUGGGAAGAUCCCCUGGAGGCAUGGCAACCCACUCCAGUAUUCUUGCCAAGAAAAUCCCACGACAGAGGAGCCUGGUGGACUACAGUCCACGGGGUCACAAAGAAUCAGAUACGACUGAAUGACUGAGCACGCACCAGCGUCAGAAUGGAGGCAGGAAGUCCCAUCUUAACUGCCCCCCUGAGGACCGGAGAGAGAGCUGCCAAGCCCUUCCAGCCAACGGUCCACACUCGCUGCCCCUGGCCUCACCACCUGCUCAUUCAGUCCUGCCCCUGCGAUGACCUUCAGUCGCCAGCUGCACAGGCCAUUGCUGCUGCAUCCGUCCUGGUCGGGCACAGCUCCUCCCAGCCGGUCGCAGUCCUCCUGGCCCUGCGGUCUUCGGGUCUCCCAAUGGGUGUCUGUAGGCCUGAGGGUCCCCUUUCUCUGGGGGAGACAGGGGCCGUCAGAGCCGGGUGGCAAGGUGGGCUGAGCCUUCACAGAGUCGGCUGGGACAGAUCCCCUGGAUACCCGGGGCUGGUGCUGAGCCUGGAGAGACCCGUGCGGGGGCGCUGGGCUCAGCGAGGACACAGACCCUCCCUCAGGCGGCGGCGAGGCAGAGCCGGCCUGUCGGCCUUGUCCCUGGGCAGCACCGGGGCAGCCGGUGCUCCGGGAGCGGACCGCGGGGGAGGCGCCUCCUGCCCGAGCCCCUCCCGGGCCGGGAUCACACGUCCUCCCUGCUUAUCAACGAGCCUCCGACCAAAGCUCACCGCCCGCAAUGGCCCGCAGGGCGCUGGGCCGCCUUUGAUGAGCAGCCCCCACCGCCCAGUCAACAAACGCUGCAGACUUUGCACCGAGAGUGUUUACUCCCGGCAAGGACGUGGUGUACCCUCCGCGGGCUGCCCGCUGCUUUCUCUGGGGUGGGGGUGGGGUGAGGGGGGUGACGAGGGGGCUACCGGUGAGUCUUCCCCAGUCCAGGGUCUGGUUCUCCAGGAGCACCUGCCUGCUCAAGAAAUCCUCCUACCUGAAGAGGGAUUAUGCCCAUUCUAUAGAUGCGAAAACUGA